RNAcentral lists this transfer-messenger RNA (372 nucleotides) under Streptomyces oceani. RNAcentral describes it as "Standard tmRNA". It matches the Rfam family "transfer-messenger RNA". Rfam says of the family: Bacterial tmRNA, also known as 10Sa RNA or SsrA, is named for its dual tRNA and mRNA-like properties. Its role is to liberate the mRNA from a stalled ribosome. To accomplish this part of the tmRNA is used as a reading frame that ends in a translation stop signal. The record is from Rfam by way of RNAcentral. Lineage: Bacteria; Bacillati; Actinomycetota; Actinomycetes; Kitasatosporales; Streptomycetaceae.
GGGGAUGAUCGGUUUCGACAGCGGAUGUCGAAGCAGGAGAAGCGAGCCGAGGAACGCGGCAAUGAUCUCGUUAACCACCUGCCGCAAAAAAAUAAUCGCCGAUUCCAAGCGCGAUUCCUUCGCCCUCGCUGCCUAAGUAGCGACCUGCGAAGUGCUGGCCCGGGAGUGUUUCCGGCCCGGAUCCCAGUAUCAGUGAGGGAACUCACCGCGUAGGCCCGGUCACGGGGUCUACCGGGACAACUAACAGUGACUGAGCCCGUCGGAGACUUGUCCGCGUGAUCUCCGGGGCUGAGAAAAUCGCAGCGGACUGCGCUCGGAGAAGCCCUUCUUCCGCACCGUUGGACGCGGGUUCGAUUCCCGCCAUCUCCACCA